This 2170-nucleotide long non-coding RNA is filed under the name Glycine max (soybean). RNAcentral's name for it is "long non-coding RNA (GMAX_LNC004419)". Lineage: Eukaryota; Viridiplantae; Streptophyta; Magnoliopsida; Fabales; Fabaceae. The record is from RNAcentral.
CGGAAGGGCAUCCUUCGCUUUCCCGUUGGGCUCGGCGACAAACACCAUGCUGGGCUUUGGGCCCGUCACGACAUCAUGGAAGAAGAAGUGUAGGUGGGUGAACUUCUCCUCGCGAAAACCCAGAAGCGUUGGGGUUAAACUUGAGUAGUAAGUGGCCGUGACUAGAGAGAAGAGUAAUGAAAGGUUAAGGCAGAUGAAGAAAGUGGAUUUGGCCAUAUUGCUGGAGAUGCCCUAAGAAAGCAAAUAGCCCAGAGAGAGUGAAGAGUGAUUUCCCGCUACUAGCUAUAGGAAUGCUUCUCGGACUCGAUGUGAGAAUCAUUAAGUUGUGACAAACUAUAUAUAUAAUACUCAGGGUUACUUAAACAAUUAUUUUCUAAUACUGUAACUGAAGAAUUCAAUCAACACUAACUUUCCUAUUAUUUUCCCCCCAGCUAAUAAUGAAAAAACAAAAAUCUGACACAUGUCAAGAGGAAGAGAUGUGUACGAUACGAUUGAAGUGAUGCUGAAUACCGCUGGGGAAAAAACAAGAGAAAUAAGUUAAUUAAUUUUCUUUGCGAAAAUGAAAUAUAAGAAAAACUUAUGUGUAUAAAUUAUAUAUAUAAUAUUCUACUUCUUGAUCUUAACAAUGUUUAGUGUCUUAUGUGAGCGUCUGUGCACAUAAGAGGAAGAGAUGUGUACAUAUUUUGCGAAAUUGAAAUAUGAGAAUGUAUAGUGUCUUAAAUGAUGUGCACAUGUAUUCCGAUUAUUAUAAGGUGAGUCUGCGCUCAAGAGAUUUCCGUUCGUGCUGUAAGGUGGGUCUGCGGUCUGCAUCUGCCCUUACCUUUUCAUUAAUUUAUUAAUCUGUUCCGUUAUUCAAGUUCAAACAUGUGCAACUUUCUUUGUUGAAUUUUACACACAGGUGAUGGCGCAAUGGCAAAUACCAAUCACAAGUCUACACAGGUAAGUUCAGUUGCAGGAAAGCAAGAUACUCAUAUAUUAAUAAUAGAUUUGUCCCUUUUCCACAACAUGAUAAACUUAUUCUUUCUAGUAUAAAAUUUAUUUAAAAGAAAUAAUAUUAUCAAUAUAAAAUUUAUAAAUUUUAUUUAUAAAAUUAUAAAGUUCAUAUUGAUAAUAUUACAAUUAAUUUUAAAUAAAAUUUAUGCUAUAUACCAAAAAUAAGUUUAUUAUGUUUAUGUUAGAUUAAUCUAAUAAAUAAUUAUAUUGACAUAAGGAAUUUAUAUAUAAAAAAUUUAUUAAUUUGUUAAUAUAAUACAUAUUAUUAUUUAUGGAUAUUUAUAUAGUUAUACUCAUAAUUUCUUUUUCGUGCUAGAGAUAGCUACGCCCAUGAUUAGCUUCCGCCCUCGCUCUCUGCUCCGCAAUUUAUUUUGUAAGUGAAUAAAGCAUGUACAUAAGUGUUUGGUUCAUUUUAUUAUUAUAUGAAAAUAAGAAAAUUUUCUAUCAUUUUAUUUUUAUUAAAAAAUAAAAAACACUGAUCAAAAUAAAGAUCAAAUGCUAAUUUGUUUUCCGGCGAAUAUUAAUGAUAAUUUUUUGUUGCUUAAAUAUAUUUUUAUUUUCUUAAAUUUGGAAUUUGUCUUUUCAAGUCUUAAUUUCAAAUUAAAAUUUAUAUAUUUUAGUCUUUUAAAUUUGUAAAAUAUAUACUAUUUUAAUCCCUCUCAGAAUGAUUUUUGACAAUAACUUUUCACGACAAGAGGGAUAAAAAAAAUAUUACAUAUUCAAGAGAUUAAAAAUAUAUUUUAUUUUUUUAUAACUGAGAAUUAUCUUAAGAUUUUAUUUAAUACUCAAUUAGUCUAGGGUCAAUCCAUUUUGAGGUUAAAUAAUAUUUCCAUAAAUCAAACUUCAGAAUUAUUACAAAUAAUAUCUUCCAUCGCCACAACGCUUCCAAACGGAAGGGCAUCCUUCGCUUUCCCGUUGGGCUUGGCGACAAACACCAUGCUGGGCUUUGGGGUCGUCACAACGUUAUAGAUGAAGAAGUGAAGGUGGGUGAACUUCUCCUCGCGAAAACCCAGAAGUGUUGGGAUUAAACUUGAAUAAUAAGUGCCCGUGACCAGAGAAAAGAUAAGGCAGAUGAAGAGAGUGGAUUUGGCCAUAAGAGAGGAUAUCGUUAAGAACUAAGCAAAUAUAGAACAGAUGGGUACGAUUGAAGUGAUGCCGAAAACGGCGGGGGGAAAAG